GCCUCCCCCGCAGGGGGAGGGCGGGAAAGCCCAGACGGCGAGGGAUGGGCCCGCGGCCUGUUAGCUAGUUGGCGGGGCAGCGGCCCACCAAGGCGAUGAUGGGUAGCCGGGUUGAGAGACCGACCGGCCAGAUUGGGACUGAGACACGGCCCAGACUCCUACGGGAGGCAGCAGUGGGGAAUCUUGCACAAUGGGCGGAAGCCUGAUGCAGCGACGCCGCGUGCGGGACGAAGGCCUUCGGGCUGUAAACCGCUUUCAGCAGGGACGAGGCGAAAGUGACGGUACCUGCAGAAGAAGCCCCGGCUAACUACGUGCCAGCAGCCGCGGUAAUACGUAGGGGGCAAGCGUUAUCCGGAUUCAUUGGGCGUAAAGCGCGCGUAGGCGGCCAGCCUGGUCGGGAGUCAAAUCCGGGGGCUCAACCCCCGUCCGCUCCCGAUACCGGCCGGCUUGAGUCUGGCAGGGGAAGGCGGAAUUCCCGGUGUAGCGGUGGAAUGCGCAGAUAUCGGGAAGAACACCGGUGGCGAAGGCGGCCUUCUGGGCCACGACUGACGCUGAGGCGCGAAAGCUAGGGGAGCGAACAGGAUUAGAUACCCUGGUAGUCCUAGCCGUA
RNAcentral lists this ribosomal RNA (610 nucleotides) under uncultured bacterium. RNAcentral describes it as "bacterial SSU rRNA". It matches the Rfam family "Bacterial small subunit ribosomal RNA", at positions 179 to 804 of the family's 1533-position model. The record is from RNAcentral.